AGAGUUUGAUCAUGGCUCAGAUUGAACGCUGGCGGCAUGCCUUACACAUGCAAGUCGAGCGGCAGCGCGGGGGCAACCCUGGCGGCGAGCGGCGUACGGGUGAGUAAUGCAUCGGAACGUGUCCUCUCGUGGGGGAUAACCAGUCGAAAGACUGGCUAAUACCGCAUGAGAUCGAGAGAUGAAAGCGGGGGACCGCAAGGCCUCGCGCGAGAGGAGCGGCCGAUGCCGGAUUAGCUAGUUGGCGGGGUAACGGCCCACCAAGGCGACGAUCCGUAGCUGGUCUGAGAGGACGACCAGCCACACUGGGACUGAGACACGGCCCAGACUCCUACGGGAGGCAGCAGUGGGGAAUUUUGGACAAUGGGGGCAACCCUGAUCUAGCCAUGCCGCGUGUGUGAAGAAGGCCUUCGGGUUGUAAAGCACUUUCGGACGGAACGAAAUCGCGCGGGCGAAUAUCCCGCGUGGAUGACGGUACCGUAAGAAGAAGCACCGGCUAACUACGUGCCAGCAGCCGCGGUAAUACGUAGGGUGCGAGCGUUAAUCGGAAUUACUGGGCGUAAAGUGUGCGCAGGCGGCCGAGCAAGUCGAGUGUGAAAGCCCCGAGCUUAACUUGGGAAUUGCGCUCGAAACUACUUGGCUGGAGUGUGGCAGAGGAAGGUGGAAUUCCACGUAGCGGUGAAAUGCGUAGAGAUGUGGAGGAACACCAAUGGCGAAGGCAGCCUUCUGGGCCAACACUGACGCUCAUGCACGAAAGCGUGGGGAGCAAACAGGAUUAGAUACCCCAGUAGUCC
Molecule: ribosomal RNA, 791 nt
Filed under: uncultured bacterium
Lineage: Bacteria
Description: bacterial SSU rRNA
Rfam family: Bacterial small subunit ribosomal RNA
Source: RNAcentral